Molecule: long non-coding RNA, 1563 nt
Filed under: Numida meleagris (helmeted guineafowl)
Lineage: Eukaryota; Metazoa; Chordata; Aves; Galliformes; Numididae
Description: lncRNA (ENSNMEG00000003863.1)
Source: RNAcentral
UAUGGACAUCUAUGGGUCUCCUGUGGGUCCCUAUGGGUCCUUAUGGGGUCUCCAUGGGGUUUCUGCCCUAUGGGAUUCUUUAUGGACAUCUAUGGGUCUCUGUGGGUCGCUAUGGGUCCUUAUGGGGUCUCUAUGGGGUUUCUGCCCUAUGGGUUUCUCUAUGGACAUCUAUGGGUCUCCUGUGGGUCCCUAUGGGUCCUUAUGGGGUCUCUAUGGGGUCCCUAUGGGUCUCAAUGGAUCUCGCUAUAAAUCUCUAUGGGGUCUCUGUGGGUCUCUAUGGGUUUUUAUGGGGUCUCUAUGGGGUCCCUAUGGGUCUCAAUGGGUCUUGCUAUGAUCUCUGUGGGUCCCUAUGGGUCUCUAUGGGCCCUUAUGGGGUCUCUAUGGGUCCCUAUGCGUCUCUAUGGGGCUUUAUGGGGUCUCUAUGGGGUCCCUAUGGGUCUCUAUGGGCCCUUAUACGGUCUCUAUGGGUCCCUAUGCGUCUCUAUGGGCCCUUAUGGGGUCUCUACGGGGUCCCUAUGGGUCUCAGUGGGUCUUGCUAUGAUCUCUAUGGGUCCCUAUGGGUCUCACUACAAUCUCUAUGGGUCCCUAUGGGUCUCAAUGGGUCUCGCUAUGAUCUCUAUGGGUCCCUAUGGGUCUCUAUGGGCCCUUAUAGGGUCUCUAUGGGUCCCUAUGGGUCUCAAUGGGUCUCACUGUAGAUCUCUAUGGGGUCUCCGUGGGUCUCUAUGGGUCCUUAUAGGGUCUCUACGGGGUCCCUAUGGGUCUCAGUGGGUCUUGCUAUGAUCUCUAUGGGUUCCUAUGGGUCUCUAUGGGUCCCUAUGGGUCUCUAUGGGUCCUUAUAGGGUCUCUAUGGGGUCCCUAUGGGUCUCAAUAGGUCUUGCUAUGAUCUCUGUGGGGUCCCUAUGGGUCUCAGUGGGUCUUGCUAUGAUCUCUAUGGGUCUCUAUGGGUCCCAGUGGGUCUUGCUAUGAUCUCUGUGGGUCCCUAUGGGUCUCUAUGGGUCCUUAUGGGGUCUCUAUGGGGUCCCUAUGGGUCUCAAUGGAUCUUGCUAUGUUCUCUAUGGGUCCCUAUGGGUCUCAAUGGGUCUCACUAUGAUCUCUAUGGGUCCCUAUGGGUCUCUAUGGGCCCUUAUAGGGUCUCUAUGGGUCCCUAUGCGUCUCUAUGGGGCUUUAUGGGGUCUCUAUGGGGUCCCUAUGGGUCUCUAUGGGUCCUUAUAGGGUCUCUAUGGGUCCCUAUGGGUCUCUAUGGGCCCUUAUAGGGUCUCUAUGGGGUCCCUAUGGGUCUCAAUGGGUCUUGCUAUGAUCCCUAUGGAGCGUUACCGGCUCCAGGUGCGGAAGGCGUUGCUGGCCCGCUUGUACAGGUAGCCCUCCAUGGGGGGGGCGUCAGGCCCCGCCCCCCCGCGGGCCACGUCCACCACCUCCUGCGUCAGGUCCUGGAAGGGGGGGAGGGGGCGUCAGAGGCCACGCCCACCGCGAGACCACGCCCCCCCAUCAUUCGCCAAAAGCCACGCCCCUUCCGACGAACCACGCCCCUGAUUCAGGCCACGCCUUCUAAAUCCAGACCACGCC